CUCCUUUUGCUGUUCUUCCUGUUUGCAGAUCUCCUCCUCCAGUUUCUGGUGGGCCACAUAGAGGUUCGAACAACUACAUCUCCAAAUGAGAGAAGUGAUUUCAAGUUGUCUGGAGAUGGACCCCUUUAAGAGAGGAAGCCUGAAUCAAAGAAGAGCAUAUAUGAAUGUUGGCUGUCCUAACAAAUUUAUCCUAGUCACCAGGGAUUGAAGAAAGAGUUUUUGCAAAAAUUUUUUUUGUUAUUAAUAAAAAUCAAGAGUCAAUUCUAUCUUUCCACUUCCCUUCAUUGUUAAGGUUUCUCAAAAGGUGAUUCUACAACUGUCCCAUUAUCUCUUGUUAGCUCUUCUACCUCUAACAAUUUCAUUAGUGUCCUUGCCACUCUUCUCCUAAGCUAUUGUUGUCCCUCUAGUUACAAAUUAAAUAAAUACAACCUGACUCUUCAGUAUACUUGCCAUAAAUUCUACUGAAGACACACUUCCUCUUGAAAUUAUCUUCUUCUCCUUGGUAUCUCUGACAAUAUCUUCUCUUGGAUUCCCUCUAAUAGUCCCAAUUGUUCCUUUAGCAAGGAUAUUUUAGUGCUUUCUGUGUUAAGUGAUGAAACACCUAAGGUUUCUUGUGCAUUCAUUUCUUUGCAUUUUCUACAUAUUCAUUGAGAGUGCCCAUAUUUGUUAUUUACAUAUUCAAAAUUUGAUCUAAGGUUCAGGCCUUAAUUUUCAACCACCCUCGAAGGAUCUCCAUGGGCACCAAGAUAGCUCACAAGAACCACACACGUCUUUAAUUAUCUUCUCUUUGUCUCUGUCCCUAUUUUUCCUUUCUUUCCCUCUUCCUAUGUCUCUUUCUCUACCUUCUUCUUUUCUUGAACCUUUUGAUAUAUCUGAAAAAGGCCUUUAUUUUUAUUUGAAUUUUUUGUUUCAUUUUUAAGAUACUUUUCUUAGGCAAAGGAUUCUAGAUUGAGAGUUAUUUUCUUUUCAAAUUUACUUUCUAAUUAACAAAUAAAAAG
Molecule: long non-coding RNA, 998 nt
Filed under: Fukomys damarensis (Damara mole-rat)
Lineage: Eukaryota; Metazoa; Chordata; Mammalia; Rodentia; Bathyergidae
Description: lncRNA (ENSFDAG00000026410.1)
Source: RNAcentral